This 1972-nucleotide long non-coding RNA is filed under the name Sus scrofa (pig). Its description in RNAcentral is "lncRNA (ENSSSCG00065060414.1)". The record is from RNAcentral. Lineage: Eukaryota; Metazoa; Chordata; Mammalia; Artiodactyla; Suidae.
GCGAGUCCUCUACAUGUGGUGCUCUGCAAGCAAGUGAAAAUAGACUAAGCUCAAAGGAAAGAAAAGCGCUUGAUGACAAUUUUACCAAAAUGCUACCAUGUCCAUUGAUCACCUUUGAGAUUAAAAGAAAUAUUGUGAGGAAGACUGGUGUAUGAUCAGUCAGAUUAAUGAUUACUUAAGGUGAAAUGGAAGCUAAAAAAGGUGGGUAACCUAUCUUGUAUCUUGUGUGUUUCAGACUUCAGAUUAACUCUCAGAGCUUUUAAUUUUAAAAGUGAUGCUUUCUCCAUCAUUGUGUGUAACCUUCUAUUAACUACUAUAAUGUUUGCUUACAAUUUGUACAUUUUUAAACAUAACAUACAUACUUUUAUUCCUUUAUUUCAGUCCCUUCACUAAAGUUUGAGCUCCAAGAUAGCAGGUUUUUUUGUUUUCCUGACUUUUUUAUGUCUCUAUGUUUAGUGACUAGACUAGUUAAAAGGUAAAUAGUAGGCGUUCAAUAAAUUAUAUUUGAAAAUAAAUGCCCUCCCCAUAGCUGUUCUUAUCUUUAAUCCCUCUAACUCAAAUAAACAGUCUUCUCUUUUCCUAAGAACAAACCUAAAUUAGUUUGAGACUACCAAAAUAUCAUAAGGGAAGAAGUAAAUGGUGUCAUAAAUUACCAUUUACUUGUAAGUUUGCUGUUUUCCUCCUCAGAUUCAACAUCAGUCAUCUAUGGAAAAUGAAUAGGUGAUCUUCUAGGUAUGUUCCAAGCUUUAGUAAUUCAUGACCUAAGGAAUAACUGUAGUCAUGAAGUUAAGAUGUAAAUGUUUAAUUACAAUAAUUACCAACAAUGUUUCUGUACACUAUAGUAGAGAAGCUAGAGAAAAGUGUAUGUGAGUGUAAAACACUUAAAGUUGAUAUACAAGAGAAAUGUUUUAUUAAUUUAUUGGAAGAUAUUUCAUUUUUCUCAUACAAAAGUAUUACCUAGUGAUAUCUAAUGACUUUCCAUGUUUUGUUGUUAUUAUCAUUUUGACCUCUUGUGUUUCAUAAUAUGUUUGCAAACAAUUACAUCCAUCUAGGGGAAAUUGUUUAGAGACCUAACAGCCUUCUAUGAGUCAAAAUCAUUUGUGCAUAGAACAAGUAAAAAUCAUUUAACAUAUAGGAAUAUAACAUGUAUAGCUGGUAAAUCUGAAAUUGCUAAUGUAGAUUGCCACUCCAGUCAAUAUAUAUCAAACAUUUCUAUCAAAUGUACCAUCUAUCAUGUAUGUGCAUUGCUUUUGUAGUUUUUAUUUCCCUUUUUAUUGUAGAAAGUAUAUAUUACUGUGACUAAAAACUACUCUUUGGGGAAUACAGUGGUUUCCAGGUCAGUGGAAAUGUGGAUUUAAAUAUUAAAAAGUGGAGUAGUUUAACCCUAGUUUGACCUUUAUCACCUCUCAGGUGAAUUGGGUGUAUUUGAAAGAAUGUAUCUGAAAAACAACAGAAUAGCGAAAAAAUUACAUCUGUGUAACCCUGUGGUCAAUCCAAUAACAGUAUUUUUAAUGAAUAAGUUCAAAACAGUAUACAUGUGUGUAUGUCCACUGUGUCUCUUUGUUUGUGCAUAUUUGUAUUUAUGUACUUAUGUAUUUUCAAUGCAUUGUCUGUCUUGUGAAUAUUUCAGUCUUUCAAGACAUCAUUUGCUUUUUCUACCAAAAUAUCAAUCUCCAUUUAUAUUACUCUAGCAAGUAAACUUCAAGCUUCAAAUAAGUUAAGAAAUACUGCCAUGAAAGCUGGAAAGAAGGAGUCUAAAGACCAACUUAUUGGAAUUCCUGCUAUGGCUCAGUGGGUUAAGAACCUAACUAGCAUCCAUGAGGAUGUGGGGUUCAUUCCUUGGCCUUGCUCAGUGGAUUAAGGAUCCGGUGUUGCUGUGAGCUCUGGUGUAGGUUGCAGACACGGCUCGGAUCCUGUGUUGCUGUGGCUGUGGUAUAGGGCCACAGCUGCAGCUCCAAUUCUACUCCUGGCC